AGCAGCGUGGCUCAGUGGAAAGAGCCUGGGCUUCAGAGUCAGGGGUCAUGGGUUCGACUCCCGACUCUGCCA
RNAcentral lists this transfer RNA (72 nucleotides) under Ornithorhynchus anatinus (platypus). It matches the Rfam family "tRNA". From Rfam's summary of the family: Transfer RNA (tRNA) molecules are approximately 80 nucleotides in length. Their secondary structure includes four short double-helical elements and three loops (D, anti-codon, and T loops). The record is from Rfam by way of RNAcentral. Lineage: Eukaryota; Metazoa; Chordata; Mammalia; Monotremata; Ornithorhynchidae.